AUACUUACUUACGUGAUAAAGUUGCAAUCCAAUAAAAAUACAAGCAAGGGUAUUAGAAAUUAAUACCAAGACAAUCUCUAUAUCCAUUCUCCAAAUAGAAUCAGAGGCUUGUUUAAUGUAAAUUGCAUGUGAAGAUGUCUGCAGCUUCCCAAAAUAAAGAGGAUCUUCCUUCCCCCGCGUACUUUCAAUGAUUCCCUUGAUAUCAGCUACACCUUUUGAAUUCA
This 224-nucleotide long non-coding RNA is filed under the name Linum usitatissimum (flax). RNAcentral's name for it is "long non-coding RNA (LUSI_LNC000279)". The record is from RNAcentral. Lineage: Eukaryota; Viridiplantae; Streptophyta; Magnoliopsida; Malpighiales; Linaceae.